RNAcentral lists this ribosomal RNA (528 nucleotides) under Triticum aestivum (bread wheat). RNAcentral's name for it is "partial small subunit ribosomal RNA". Lineage: Eukaryota; Viridiplantae; Streptophyta; Magnoliopsida; Poales; Poaceae. The record is from RNAcentral.
AUGAGGCCGGCGGGGACGAACGCAGCUACCGCGCCAGUCCAGCGAUGGAUUGCACCAGAGGCGAGUUUGGUAAAGGUUAAUUCAGAUGGAGCCCUUGCUCGGAACAGACGAGGCGGGGUUGUGGCUGCUCUCUGUCGUGACCACAAUGGGAUGUUUUUGGGGUCAUUAGCAAUGUUCUAUCAAGGAGUCAGAGACCCAAUGAUUUUGGAGACAUAUGCUUGUCGAGAAGCACUAGCUUUGGCUGAGGAUUUAGCAGCCCAAAAUAUCGUGGUGGCCUCUGAUUGUCAAGGAGUAGUCAAUGACAUAAACCAUGGGACAGGCGGUCCGAAUGCGGCCAUCAUACAUGAAAUCAUAGCCCGUAGUUCUACUUUUACCUCUUGUAGUUUCUUGCAUGAAUGCAGAAACUUUAAUUUUGAGGCGCACAAUCUCGCCAAAUUUGCUUGUACUUUACCUAUAGGUAGACACGUUUGGUUGGGUAAUCCUCAUGACCCAAAUCUUGUACCUAUGAAUAUUGUUUUGAAUCAAUAA